This 254-nucleotide ribosomal RNA is filed under the name uncultured prokaryote. RNAcentral's name for it is "partial 16S ribosomal RNA". It matches the Rfam family "Bacterial small subunit ribosomal RNA", at positions 525 to 777 of the family's 1533-position model. The record is from RNAcentral.
ACGGGGGGAGCAAGCGUUGUUCGGAUUUACUGGGCGUAAAGGGCGGGUAGGCGGCCACCGCAAGUCGAGUGUGAAAGCCCCCGGCUCAACUGGGGAGGGUCAUUCGAUACUGAUCGACUCGAAGGCAGGAGAGGGUAGUGGAAUUCCCGGUGUAGUGGUGAAAUGCGUAGAUAUCGGGAGGAACACCAGUGGCGAAGGCGACUACCUGGCCUGUUCUUGACGCUGAGGCGCGAAAGCUAGGGGAGCAAACGGGA